This 257-nucleotide ribosomal RNA is filed under the name uncultured bacterium. RNAcentral's name for it is "partial small subunit ribosomal RNA". It matches the Rfam family "Bacterial small subunit ribosomal RNA", at positions 26 to 288 of the family's 1533-position model. The record is from RNAcentral.
AGGACGAACGCUGGCGGCGUGCUUAACACAUGCAAGUCGAGCGGAAAGGCCCUUCGGGGUACUCGAGCGGCGAACGGGUGAGUAACACGUGAGUAAUCUGCCCCUAGCUCUGGGAUAGCUCCGGGAAACCGGGAUUAAUACCAGAUACGACCACUUUAGACAUCUGCUGUGGUGGAAAGAAUUUCGGCUAGGGAUGAGCUCGCGGCCUAUCAGCUUGUUGGUGAGGUAACGGCUCACCAAGGCGACGACGGGUAGCU